UACGUAGGGGGCUAGCGUUGUCCGGAAUCAUUGGGCGUAAAGAGCGUGUAGGCGGCUCGGUAAGUCCGCUCUGAAAGCCCGGGGCUCAACCCCGGGAGGCGGGCGGAUACUGUCGGGCUAGAGUCCGGAAGAGGCGAGUGGAAUUCCUGGUGUAGCGGUGAAAUGCGCAGAUAUCAGGAGGAACACCGGUGGCGAAGGCGGGUCUCUGGGCCGUAACUGACGCUGAGGAGCGAAAGCGUGGGGAGCGAACAGG
This 253-nucleotide ribosomal RNA is filed under the name uncultured bacterium. RNAcentral's name for it is "partial 16S ribosomal RNA". It matches the Rfam family "Bacterial small subunit ribosomal RNA", at positions 524 to 776 of the family's 1533-position model. The record is from RNAcentral.